UGGCUCAGAGGUUAAAGCGUCUGCCUCCAAUGCAGGAGACCUGGGUUCAAUCCCUG
Non-coding RNA from Ovis aries (sheep), 56 nucleotides. Lineage: Eukaryota; Metazoa; Chordata; Mammalia; Artiodactyla; Bovidae. The record is from Rfam.